RNAcentral lists this microRNA precursor (111 nucleotides) under Mnemiopsis leidyi (sea walnut). RNAcentral's name for it is "microRNA mir-598". The record is from RNAcentral. Lineage: Eukaryota; Metazoa; Ctenophora; Tentaculata; Lobata; Bolinopsidae.
CGUUCACAAUGAUGACGAAUGAUGACGGAGGGGGGGAGGGGGGUAAAAUUUACCGAAAAUUUUCGGUAAUUGUUACCCCCUUCCCCCCUCCGUCAUCAUUCGUCAUCAUGA